Long non-coding RNA from Brienomyrus brachyistius, 1037 nucleotides. RefSeq lists it as uncharacterized. The transcript is spliced from 3 exons. NCBI's taxonomy places the organism in Eukaryota, Metazoa, Chordata, Actinopteri, Osteoglossiformes, Mormyridae. The record is from RefSeq and is a predicted model, not a curated record.
GUGCCCACGUCGCACGGCGUGGUCCUUCAGGGGAACCAGGAACUGUGGUGCAGCCAAGCGCUCCUGGGAUCUUUGUGGGGACCUGAAAAAUGUUCCCCAUAGUUGGAUGGCUAUGAUGGUACCAGAUCUCACAGCACUGCAUCUGAACGUGGGCCCGCUAUCCCCAGCCUAUGCUCACCAGGGGGCGGCAUGGCCGGCACCCCCUGCUCGAGUGCGACGGGCUCCCCGACGCCGCCUUCGUUAACGGCGCGGAUACGGAAGCAGUACUUCAUGCGGUCCUGCAGGCCUCCCACUGUGUAGCUGGUGCCAGCGAUGGGGACCUUGGUGCACUUUGACCACUCCUUGGCGUCGUCAGGGCGCAUCUCCAGGAUGUAGCCUGAAGGGUCAUCGCCUUGCUGCGGGGGCCACCAGCCCAGAGAGAUGGAGGAACUGGACGAGUCGGUCACAUAUCAAUCGAAGAGACGCGAGUGGACUAAACACAGCGACAUGACCUUCACCUCUGCUGAAGAACAUCUCGCAGGCAUCUGGGCCACAUGCCACCUAAUAAAUCCUAGAUGAUUUAUUGUGUUCAGUGGAAUAAAACCUUCUAGAGGCUCGAGGUGACUGAAAUGGGCCAAAUUUGAAUAACUCAGUGCUCGUCUGCAUCUAAAAAACAUAUGUUCACUGAGUUAAUAAGUAGAAAUUGUGGAAUAUAGCAAAUUUUGGAAUGUGUGUAUAAGUAAGAAAAUAUAUCAUAUGGCAAACCCAUGUAGAUAAGAGUAUAGGGAAUAGAUAUUGCGGUGGCAUAAAAUAGUCACUUAAAUACAAAGGUCUAUUUUCAAGGGGGAUGAAUAAAGCCAAAUUAAAUACUAAGGGAGCACGACCCCCCUGUCCUCCCCUGUUCUUAAGCCCCUGCAUGUUGAAAUGCACAAAGGCACCCCAGUAAGACAUUAGAGUAUGUGUGGGUUCAUGCUUCAAUGAGCACGCAAGCAUGGAGCAUGUGGAUGGCCCUGCAGGUGCCACAUUGCAAUGCGACUGCUGGCAAACUCGCCUAUGAC